GACAGAGGGUGCAAACGUUGUUCGGAAUUAUUGGGCGUAAAGGGCGCGUAGGCGGUGCGGUAAGUCACCUGUGAAAUCUCCUGGCUCAACUGGGAGCUUGCAGGCGAAACUGCCGUGCUGGAGUGUGGGAGAGGUGCGUGGAAUUCCCGGUGUAGCGGUGAAAUGCGUAGAUAUCAGGAGGAACACCGGUGGCGAAGGCGGGUCUCUGGGCCGAUACUGACGCUGAGGAGCGAAAGCGUGGGGAGCGAACAGG
RNAcentral lists this ribosomal RNA (253 nucleotides) under uncultured bacterium. RNAcentral's name for it is "partial 16S ribosomal RNA". It matches the Rfam family "Bacterial small subunit ribosomal RNA", at positions 524 to 776 of the family's 1533-position model. The record is from RNAcentral.